RNA transcript from Patella vulgata (common limpet), 10949 nucleotides. It is a transcript of the gene named probable helicase senataxin, with no coding region annotated. Lineage: Eukaryota; Metazoa; Mollusca; Gastropoda; Patellidae. The transcript has 23 exons. The record is from RefSeq and is a predicted model, not a curated record.
UUUUUACAACAAAUAGCGGAAUCUGUACUUUGUGACAAUAUCAUUUUAUUUGUAAAAUGAAGGAUACAGCUGCAGGUUGUAGCCCUAUACCAUAAGCUCAAGUGUUCAAUUUAGUAUAAAUCUUUAUUCUUUUGUGGGGGCGGGGGGAAUUUGUUGGUGUCCCAAAUAAUUCACUAGUGGUAAAAACCCGUGAAAUUGAAAUUGAUUCAUGAAUUAAAUAAUUAGCUCAUCAUUCCACUUUACCUAUGAAUAAUUCAUCUUUUGCAUUUCCAGUAUGGGCAACCUCUUUUCAUUUGGACAGUCAAGUCAAGAAAAGGAUGAAACAGCACCAUUUUGCCAAACAGAUUCAGAGACAGACUCUGAGGCAGUAAUUAUGUCAGAUGUGAGUGUUUUCCAGACUACUUCCAGUUCAUUACAAGAUGACAUCAUAUGUGUUAGCGACAGUGAUUCAGACUCAAUUUUUAGUCAUUUUAACACACAAACAAAUCAUAAAAUUAAGAAAACAUCUAUAAAAACAAGUUCAUCAAAAAAAGUUUCAUCACCUAACAAAGAGCAGCUUAUUAUUAAUGAAACAGCCAGAUCAUUGCUUUCACAAAAAUUUAAAAAAAAAUGCAAAUCCAAAAACAAUACACCCGUUACCAAGCCUAAUGCAUCACGAGAAACAAUUUCACCAAAGCAAGAGGAUAGUUCUAUUAUCAAAAAAGAUCCAUCAGCCAGUCAUUGGCCAAUAUUUUCGGAAUAUGUUCAAAACAAUUCUCAAUCAAAACUGAAUAAAAGAAAAGGUUCAAGAUUAAAGAAACAGGCUAAUGUUAAAUCUAAUCUGAAAGUUACUAAAAGUUAUAGACAGAGACUUGCGCAAUCCUGGAAUGGACGGCGUAAAAAUUGCAGUCAACCUGCCAUUAGCGAUCUUUCAACAAGUGCUGAUGGCUCGUCAAGUCUGGAAAUUGAUCAAGUAGAAUCGUGGUCUGAAUCAGAUUCAGAUUUUGAAACGAGUCCUAUUCAACAAAAGACAAGAGUUUUGCAGAAAAAAAGUACAUGUAGUACAUCAACUGUAAAUGCGAGUCAAAUUUUAUCACCAAUUUUAUCUAAAAAACGCAUAAAAAAUAGAACUGAUGAUUCUCUAUUAAAAACAAAAAUCAUUUCUGAUUGCAUUAAUGUCCAUAAUGAGCGAAAAAUAAAUUCUAGCCCUGCAUUAAUGUUCACUGAAAGCGACGAAGAAAAAAUCACUGAACUACAAAUCCCCCAAAAGAAUUCAGGCAAGAGGAGAGAUUCAUCAUCUCCUACUUUAAUACCAGAAUCAGAUGAUGAAGCAAGUCAACCAUUUCCUGAACUAUUACCUGCAACAGUGCAUAAACAUCUGCCAACCUUAGAUUCUGAUGAAGAAACUCAACAACCUGAUUAUACUGAUGAUGAGAUUAACCACAUAUUCGAAAGUCAAGUAGUGGGGAAGAGCAGCCAAGAAAGUACAGUAGUAAGGAAUGUGCCUCUUCAAGACAGUGCUGAUGAAUCUACACAGGAACCUGAUUCAAUGUCAGAAAUGAGUCCCAAUGUUGCUAGAAAAUUAUCUGACAGCAUACAGUCAGAUAGUUCUGAUGAAUUACCAGAUUGUGAUUUUCUGACUCAACCAUUUGAAGUCAGAUCACCAGAUGUUUCAGCAGCCAAGGACAAAAUGGACAAAACACCCACAGAUGCUAACAUCUCUUAUCCAGUUCCAGUUAGUUCUGGUGUCCUACCACAUUCAACUGAUUAUGUUAAAUUUAACUCCAAAGGAAAAUCCAAUCUUUAUUUUCCUUCUCAUUCGAAGAAUAACCAGGCCGAAGUAUUGUCACCUCAGGUGAAACCUUCAAAUAAUAAUUUAUCAAGAUUUAUUUCAGACCUUAAAGGAAAUGACAAUACUAAGAAAUCCACACAAACAAUUUCCAAGACACAACCAUUUUCUUUAAGUCCGCUAAAAAGUCAGAAUAUAUCAGUUUCUAGUCCUACACCAAGCAUAUUUGAAAAAAUGGCAGCAUCUAGUCAAGCCCUAAUGAAGGACAGUCAGUAUCAUAGUGAUGUAGAAAUGGAUGAAUGCAUCAUUGUUCCUGUUUUGAAAUUAGGGAAUAGCAGCUCUGUUAAUGAUAAUUCUGCUCCUUUCAGUGAUAACAAGGAUACUGAUGAUAGUGGUGAUGACAAAAAAACUGGGGAUGGUAACCCUUGUUUGGGAAUAUUUGAGUUCAAGCAUCCUGAAGCUUUUAAGGACAAAUCAGAUAAAAGUAUAAAAAAUUCUGUAAAUUUUGGAGCGGUAGAAAUAAAGGAAGAAGUUGAUAAUGGUUGGAGUUAUACACAGGCUGAUGAUGAUGAUGAUGAUGUUGUGGAAAUCUUUGAUUUGGAUGAUGAAGAUGCUUUGUUUUGUUUGUCUCAAGUACCAGUCAAUAUCAAAUCUGAACCGGUGUCAGAAGAAGAGGAGGAAGUAGUAGGUGAUGAUGAAUUUGGCGCAAUGGCCAAAUUGUAUGACAACGAAGAAGAGGAAAUUGAACAACCUAAGCUAAAACAGGCUAAAUUCGAUUCCUCAUUAAAACAGACAAUAGUGGAAGCAGCAGAUAAAGAUGUUGAUUUAUUUGAUUCUUAUUUUCAAGAUGAUUUUACCGAUGAUGAAGAGAAGGCGAUAGAGGAAGGUAAAGAUGCUGAUGAAAAUGAGUCUGAUGCAUUUUCCGAUGAAGAUAUUUUUAAUCAGUCAACUACUAACUUGUGCGACAAAAUUAAAUUUGAUAAAUCUGAAAAUGAAAUAGAAAAUAACCAGACAAAACAUCUAGCUACUGGUGCUAAUACUGGUUUCCAGGAGAACAAUAUAUUACCCAUGUCCAAACAAUCGUCAGAAAUAAACUUAAAUCUGAUACCAGAUAUAAAGAGCAUAGAAAAAGAUGGAAUUAAAUUGAGUGAGGAAAUGGAAGAUAUAUCGAGUAGAGAGAUAGGUAAUGAUUUGACUUUUAUUAAUGCUUUUUUCGAUGAUUGUGGUGAUGCUUUGCCAAGAAAGAUAGAUGCAAUGAAAUUGAAGUGUGAUGAUGUUGAUAAACCUGUAAUGGGACCACCCACCAUUGUAACUCCUGACCAGGACGUCACAUCUGCUUCUAUUACAACAAAUAUUACUCCUAUUCUGAAUAAACCUGAAACAACUAGUGAUGAUGAAAUCUAUAAUGAUUUAACCCAAAUUGACAAGGACGUCACAUCUGUUUCUAUUACAACAAAUGUUACUCCUAUUCUGAAUAAACCUGAAACAACUAGUGAUGAUGAAAUCUAUAAUGAUUUAACCCAAAUUGACAGUUUUCAUAGUCCUGGACAUGUUACAUUAUACAAAUCUGAUGAAGAAGACAGAGGUACUUCCACUAGUUCUAAAACUAAUUUCAAGAGAAGAAAGAAACUCCUUUCAGAAAGCAGUAUCGAGAGGGCUGUUGAUGAUAAAGGAAAUUGCUGUUUAGAAAUAUCAGAGGAUGAGAUAUAUUAUGCACCUACACAGCUUAUUACUGAUAUUACUGAGCCUUCUACUUCUAGUGAUGAUCUUGCUGUGAUUGAAGAUUUGCUUGCUAAAGGGAAGACAUUAAAUAAGAGUAAAUCAGUUACUAGUAACAAACCUAAACAGAUCAUUCAAAUUAAUCCUCAACGACAAGAAAGUAAGAAAGAAAUAAGAGAUAAAUAUAAAAGGGCCAAAGAAAUGAAUAUUAGCAAAUCUGGAAAACUAUCUUCGCAUUGCAAAUCAACAUCAUCUAGCAUACCAGCAUUAUGCAGUAAACCCACUGUCAAACCGUCUCCAUCUAACAAACCAUCUUCAUCUUCACACAGUAAUAAAUCUUCAUCUAGCAAACCGUGUUCAUCAAACAAACCAUCUUCAUCCAGUAAACCAAUGUUAUCCAGCAAACCUUCAACUGGUAAUUCAACUUCAUCUAACAAACCAUCUCAUUACAGUUAUUCAACCUCAUCUACUAAACCCUCUCCAAACAGUAAACUACCCAUAUCUGCUCAAAAGGUAUCAAAUGAACGAUUAGAUUCAACAGUGGAAAAUUCCACAAAAUCCAAAAAUUUUUCUACCCAAAAAUCAGUUUCCAGAUUUUUGAGCAAAUCAAAGCCCCAUUCAACAGUUCCCAUUUCCAAGAAAAAUUCCACUUCUUUCAAAGCAAACCAAAGUAGUAGUUGGUUGAAUAAAAAUCAUCAAGUUCCUGGGAUUUCCACAAAAAAGAAAAAAUCAGCAACGAAGAGACUGAAGUCAGUUGAUGAACCUUUUAGUCUGACACAAAAGAUUACUAUGGCUAGAAAGCAGCUGAAACACAGGAAAAAUCAAGCUAAAGCUACAGAGGUUGCUAUUGCUAAAUAUAAUAAUACUAGAGAUGAAAUGGAAAACUUAACAGGUAGUGAUGUCCAGCUACCAGAUGUUAAUGAUAUCUUAAAUAAACAGUUACCUAUUCUUUCGUGUGAUGUCAAUGAAAUGCGCAGAGGUAUAGAAUUGGAGAACGCUGAAAAUGUUCCAAAAGAACCAUCUGCUGCAAGAGAAGGUGUGACAAAUAAUGAAGCACGUACCAUAAAAGCAAGGACUUUGUCAGACAAACCAGAUACAGUAAUUGAUCCAUAUGCAGAAGCUUCUACAUCUAUGUGUGCUUUGACUGACCAUAAUAAGUUUGUUGAAAAGAAUGAGACUCUUGUCAGACAUAGUGUAAAUAAAGUCAAUAAGAAUAAAAGACAGAAAACUUUUGACAGUGAUAAUGAAAUAGGACCCACAAAAAAUGCAGAAAUAAUAGUGCCAGCCAAAAAGAAGAAAGAAUGCAUUGAAGUAAUAGGUAUUAAGAAAGGAAAGGAAAAGGUGAACACAGCUACUAGCACUGCUAAAGACAGUGUUUUAUUAGAUGAACUAAUUGAUAAAAUGGGUCCAAUCAAUCAACCUACACAUCUCCCAUUUCAAAGAAAAGUUACUCAGUUGAAACAAAGUUCAAGUACAGCAAUCAGUUUGGCAGCUUCCGUUCACAAGCCCUUGGAAUCAUCAUCUAGUGUUCCUCUACAUUCAUACAAAUUAGAUAAUGCUAAUUCGGUGUCAAAAGUUCCAAAUACAUGUAAUCAGUCAAAGGUGGACCCUAGAAAGCAAAAACAUGCACUGCAUUCAGCACCAGCAGCUUCAUCAGGAUUACCAGCAACUGGCAUUUCAGUAAAUUUAAUGUUGAAAAAUAAUCAACAGCCACGUCAGCCUCUAUCUACAUACAAUGCUGUCUCAAGCCACUCUGUUUCAAAAACUGUUAUGUCAAAGCCAGCAAUACAGGAGAAAGCACAAGUUAAUAAGAUAUUUAAGCUAGAUGAUUAUUAUAGAAUUAUUCUCAGGUGGAAUCCUGUUUGGUUAGAUGAGCAAGAUAAUGCCAAGAAUAAUGGACAACCGCCACCAUUACUAGGAAAAGCAAAUGUAUUUCAAUUAUUAGAAUCUUAUACAAAUAUACAAGAGUACCAGGAAAUCAUGCUUAAUCUAUUAGCUUUAGAGACAUGGGAGAUGAUAACUCGUGAUUGGAAGGAAAAACAUCACAAACAGAAAUCUGAUGAUUUCCAGAUAGGACUUGAAAGUAUACAAACAGAAGAGGAGUUUAUCCGAUUUGUAUGGCUUGGCAUUUUAUCUCCAGAAGUAUUUGACCGUGGUAAUUAUCCUAGAGAGAUGGACUUGGUGAGAAUUGAUAUGUUUGGAGUGUAUUUACAUGAAUGUAAAAAAGGGAAUAAGCAAACACCACAAAGUAAAUGUUAUCCACAGAUGGCUUUUGUAGAAAAAGUGAUGGUGCACAAAAAACAAGAGGCUGGUGCUAUAAUAAAAAGAGUGAUGGCAUUAGAAAAACAUCCAUUGAUCAAAGGUCGGACAUUGAUAACCAUGAAAAUCAUAACUAAAGUCAAAUAUAGAAAGUUUUCCCCAGAUAGUUCGAAACUCAUGAAAUUAGAGGUCUUAACAAGUCUGGUAACAAAUCAACGUCAGAUAUCAGCACUAGCUUAUUUUCCCCGAAAUCCACUUCAUAAAGAUAUACUAAAACCUGGUAAUAAACAAAUCUACUCACAUCAACGUACCAAUCAUUUACUGACUGGUUUUGAUGUAUCACAGAGUCAAGCUAUUAGUUCUAUAUCACAGGCAGUUAAACAACCAGUGAUAUGUCCUAAAAUCUGUAUUUUACAAGGUCCACCUGGUACAGGAAAAUCUCAUACAAUAGUUGGUCUCUUAAAUUCCAUAAUUAAGAGUGAUAGGACUCGUGGUUGUGUUUGUCUGGCUACACCAUCAAAUGGCGCGGCUGAUGAAUUAAUGAGAAGAUUAAUUAGAGAUAACAGAAAGACCAAAGAAAAUAAUAAAGAUAAAUUAAGAGUUGUUAGAGUAGGUAAUAGUAGUAGUGUACAUCCAGAUGUAAGAAGUCAUUGUUGGGAUGUACUAAUAAACAACAAACGAAAAUCAGUAUUAAGAGAAAAACAGAAACAGAAUAUUCCUGACAGUGUUCAACAAGAUAUGAAGAGACUAGAAGAAAGAAUAGAUAAAUUAAAAAAAGAGCUUGAAACCUUUAGGAAACAAAAAGAUAACCUUAAGGCAGGCAAAUGUCAAGUUGAUCUGAAUAAAUUGGUUAAUCAGCAAAGAAAUUUAGAAAAACAGUUUGCGAACUCUCUGAAUAAGGAUAUAACAUUAACUGGUCAAGAAGAAUUUAUGAUCAAAAGUAAUAUCUUAUUACAUGCUGAUGUGGUCUGUGGUACACUUAGUAGUUUUGGAAGUCAGAGACUUCUAGACAUUCUUAGAAAUGGCCGAUCUGCUAAUCGUAGAGAACAUUUUACAUGUUUAAUCAUUGAUGAGACAAAAUGAAACAUCAGAAAAUCACCGCUUGGAUUAAUUAUUAAGGGCAAAUAAUGACUUGAGGCAAGUCAAGCAUCUGAAUUGGAUUGUUUGAUACCAUUACAGUAUGGUGUUAAUAAGAUGGUGUUAGUCGGUGAUCCCGAACAAUUACCUGCUACUGUUUUAUCUAAGAAAGCGGGUGAAAUGAACUUUGGCCAAUCAUUAUUGGAAAGAUUAUAUAACUAUUUUAAACAUAAUGAUGAACGAGCUAUAUGUAUGUUAAAGACACAGUAUAGAAUGGACAGUACCAUAUUUUCCUUUCCUAAUAAACUCAUAUAUAAUGAUGAACUUAAUACACAUAAAAGUGUUCAACAAAAUAGUGAAAAGUUUCCAUUGAUCCCAUAUUUAGUGUUUGAUGUGAUUUGUGGAAAAGAAACAGCCAAUGCCGAAUCUAUUUGUAACACUGCUGAAGCUCAGUGUACAGUAGAACUUUGUCAAAAUAUUGUGAGAAGAGCUAAACUAUCCCAAUCUAGUAUAGGUGUUAUAUGUCCAUACCAAUCACAGAAAGCUUUAGUUCUUGCAGGACUAAAGAACAGCAAUCUGAAUAAUAUAGACGUUGGAACAGUCGAUGGUUUUCAAGGUAGAGAAAAACCUGUAAUUAUAUUAAAUUGUGUAAGAUCACAAAGUGCCUACGGAGGAAUAGGUUUUCUAGCAGAUAGACGAAGAAUGAAUGUAGCUAUUACAAGAGCUAAGAGUGCUCUGUAUAUACUUGGUAAUCUUAAUUCAUUGAAGAAAAGUGGUGAUUGGAGGCUUCUUAUUGAAGAUGCUGUUAGUAGACGUCGUGUUAUUUCUGUUAAUAAAGUGGCUGACUUCUGUUGUCAAACAGAUGAAUGUUUUAAACGACGAACCCAGACUGUGUAAAUGGCUAUUGAGUAAAACUUUUCAUUGGAUCUUAUUAUUACAAGUGGAUUGAUGUGUUUUAAACACAACAUAUGUCUUACCGUCUUUCAGUUUUUAGUUUAUUUAUUGAAGAAUCAAAACUGCCUACCAAUGUGUUGAAAUACCAGGAAAAAACUAUGAUCACAAUUUAAACACAUACUUAUUUUGUUAUGAGUGACUUACUGUUUGAAAAUGUUAACACUGGAUAAUGUUUAAAUUAACUGAAAUAUCUAAUGUAACAAAAUAGUUACUUGUUUUCAAUUCUUGUACUUAAAGGAGUUGUUUUUUUUGUUAAUUUUAAAGGCGCGCGAUUGCUCACGAGAGCCUGCCGCACUCCUGAAUGUCGACAGAGGGAAACUUUUUCUCCCUCCCCUUAAAAUUGAAAACCGCUCUCCUUAUUUGUAAAACUGGGACUUGUGUAUUUUCUUAUAAAAGAGUGUGAAAGACUGAACAUUUUUAAAGAAUAUUUGAACAAGUUUUUUGUUUACGUAAAGUUACUCACAUUCCGAUCGCUGACAUACUGUCAUUUUAAACAUUUAUUUUGUGUAUUCAGUUAGUGAAUAACAACAAAAACAACAACGUGGUUUUAAUUUUCAAUAUAUCGGAUAAAUACUAUACAAUACACACAAUGUUUGUGAUCGCACAUUGUAAUAAAAUUCUGAUGAAUGUUACUAAAAUCAGAUGGCUUCUAUGUACGAAUGGUAAAAUGUAACUGAAAACUAAUGUAGAACUCUCGCAAGACAUGAGAGAUGGUACGCAAAAAUUUUGGAAGAAAGAUUCUAUUUUGAUGGAAUUUUCUAGCAGUUAUGAUUAUAUUUUGAAUGGGGGUUAUGUUUUUUAAACAAAAUUUAUACAAGCUAUAUUUUGAAAUGUCGACAAGUAUUUUGUUGGUAACAGACUCUUAGAAAAAUUAAUUUUAUGUGUUAUUAGUUUCAUAUCUUUAUUUGUGUAACCCUGGAUAACUUAUGAACAGCUCAAUAUUUUUAGCUGAAAAUUUCUGACAAGAAUUAGCUAUUUUUUUUUUACAGAUAGCCCAUGAAGCAGGGGCUGAACCUUUAAUAAUUUUUCAUUAGACAAUGGCAAUUAUUGUUAUAGUUUGGAGGCUCAGUGCUGGGGGGUGUCCAUCAAAUGGGCACAAAACCAAACCAAACUUUUCCAUAGAAAAAUUGUGCAUAGAAUACGUUGCCGAGUGGUAAUCAGUCUGCCGAUUGUUUUUUUUUUUUCUGGAAAUAUUCGGGGUCAAACGUCAGCUGUCUAGUCAUUCGGAUACGACGAUAAACAGAGGUCCCUGUGUACACAUUGGCGUGCACGUAAGAGAUCCCUUGACAGUUGGAAUUCGAUAUAAGAGUAGGCCCUGAACAAAUGAAGAAGUUGGAUUAUACAUUGUCUUAAUUUAAAAAUUACAUAAAUAGAAGUUAAAAAUUACAUGAACAGAAGUUAGAAAUUAGACGAAAGCGCGUUAGAAUUUUGAAUCUAAUAUACCGCCAUAAAAUUUUAGUAUAGAAAAGUUGGGUCUGGUUUUGAGCCUCUGGUCUAUAAAGAAAGCGCCAUUUACAAUAUGAUGAAAAUAUAUAUAUUUUAGUAAUAUAUACUUAUAAUAUGUAAAUACAUGUAGAUAGUUUUGUAUGUUAUUAUUGUAAAUUUACUGCGUGACAAAUAAUUUGGCAAUAUAUUACAUUAUAUUUCCAUUAUUUGAUUUUAGCACUUUUUACAUGAAAAUUUCGACUACCCUAGUUCUUUGAAAAAGAAUUAGUGAUCUAAUUCAUACCGCAUUAUCCCGAAGCCAUCUGAAUAGUGUCUUGUGCAUAGCUUUCAGUAUUGUAGGAUUUACACUUAUUGUUCGGGACGCAACAAUUAUUCAUAUGACUAAUUUUUGGGGCGCAACAAUUAUUCAUAUGAUUCCGCCCUUCUUCAUUAGCCCAGUCAGAGCAGAACAGUAGGACGAUAAACCCCAUUUCAUUUCACAUGACUCCAGCGAUCUAAAGAGCGCUAGUUUGUGGCAAUCAAGUGCUAACGGUUUAAUCCAAUAAAAUAGCAAGAAAAAGUCUGUAUAAGAGUGAAAAGUAAAGCAUUUAUAAAAUGACUAAUGACUAAUAAAAUGCAUGUCUAAUUCCCUUUUUGGUAACAUGUAAAUUUAUGUUCUUUGUCGUAUUAAAAUACAGUGGUUAUAUUCUUACCUUAGUGCUUAGAGAAAUAUUUGAAUAUUCUAAUUCAAAUACUUUAUAAGUUAUUCAAACUGAUUUUUACUAUUGGUUAUUCAAAUUUCAACUAAUAGAAUUGUGUCCUGUCUGAAUGUAUUUCCUGUUUAACAACAAAAUACCUUUGAAACAAUUUAUGUCAUACCGCUUUCCAUGUUCGCUAGUCAACUUUGCUUACCGGUAUAAUUAUUAUUUUAUAUGUCUGUAUAUUCAAAUUAAAUGACUUUAUUUUUGUAUAGUUAUAAAUAAUCAGUGUAACUUAUGGUGCUUUCAACAUAUGCCUUUUUUUUUUAUUCUGUUUUUUUUUUUUUUUUUUUUUGUCCUUGAAGGAGAUCAUUGUUGAAAAACUAUCUGAAUAACAGCAUUUACAGUAUUGUUAUUGACAUUUUCUGUUUUGUUUUUUUAUAAAUUUAAAUUAACUACAAUAUGUGUAAAUGUGAUCUGUAUAUAUUAAAAGAAUGAUUUUGAUUUUUUUGUCAGGUUCAUUUUUGUAUGCAGUUUUGAUGUGGAAGUAUAUUGUGAUCUGUUGUCAAGCAUUCGUCCACAACCUCUUAAGCUUACAGGGAUUGUUCAUUGGGUCAUAUUGAAGAACCCUAUCGAAAUUUAUUGUUUUGAUCACAUAUUGCAGACAUAGGCGCAUCCCCCCUCCCCCCACACACAGACUUUUUUGGAUCCAGGGCUGUAUGUCUAUUUAGAUCCAAAUUGUGAGCACAAUGCAGGUCAGAGUUCAGUGGGAAUGUUCAGUGGGGCAUUAGGAAGAUUCCCGUCAAUUUUAGAUUGUAAAUUUGAAAUGUAUUUUGUGAAAUUAUCUUUCUGCUGAAUUUUUUGUUACAGUUUUACUUCAAGAUUUUAGAGCUAGGCACAGAUGAUUUGGCUGCUGGUGGGCCUGACAAGCCCCUGCCUUUGUUACAUUAUGUGGUUUUAUUAUUUGGUAUAUGUAACAAUACAUUGACAAUGAUAUAUAAAUUAUAUACAUUCAUGAAUUACUACAAUAAAUUAAAUUUAUUGGCCUA